This 497-nucleotide ribosomal RNA is filed under the name uncultured bacterium. RNAcentral's name for it is "partial 16S ribosomal RNA". It matches the Rfam family "Bacterial small subunit ribosomal RNA", at positions 28 to 507 of the family's 1533-position model. The record is from RNAcentral.
GAUGAACGCUGGCGGCGUGCCUAAUACAUGCAAGUCGAGCAAACGGACGAGAAGCUUGCUUCUCUGAUGUUAGCGGCGGACGGGUGAGUAACACGUGGAUAACCUACCUAUAAGACUGGGAUAACUUCGGGAAACCGGAGCUAAUACCGGAUAAUAUUUUGAACCGCAUGGUUCAAAAGUGAAAGACGGUCUUGCUGUCACUUAUAGAUGGAUCCGCGCUGCAUUAGCUAGUUGGUAAGGUAACGGCUUACCAAGGCAUCGAUGCAUAGCCGACCUGAGAGGGUGAUCGGCCACACUGGAACUGAGACACGGUCCAGACUCCUACGGGAGGCAGCAGUAGGGAAUCUUCCGCAAUGGGCGAAAGCCUGACGGAGCAACGCCGCGUGAGUGAUGAAGGUCUUCGGAUCGUAAAACUCUGUUAUUAGGGAAGAACAUAUGUGUAAGUAACUGUGCACAUCUUGACGGUACCUAAUCAGAAAGCCACGGCUAACUACGUG